RNAcentral lists this transfer RNA (70 nucleotides) under Marmota monax (woodchuck). RNAcentral describes it as "tRNA.Ala". The record is from RNAcentral. Lineage: Eukaryota; Metazoa; Chordata; Mammalia; Rodentia; Sciuridae.
GGGGUUGUGGCUCAGUGGUAGAGUGCUUGCCUAGCACACAUGAGGCAUUAGGUUCUAAACCUCAGCACGA